This 253-nucleotide ribosomal RNA is filed under the name uncultured bacterium. Its description in RNAcentral is "partial 16S ribosomal RNA". It matches the Rfam family "Bacterial small subunit ribosomal RNA", at positions 524 to 776 of the family's 1533-position model. The record is from RNAcentral.
UACAGAGGUCUCAAGCGUUGUUCGGAUUCAUUGGGCGUAAAGGGCGCGUAGGCGGUGCCACAAGUCACCUGUGAAAUCUCCGGGCUUAACUCGGAGCCUGCAGGCGAAACUGUGGUGCUGGAGUGUGGGAGAGGUGAGUGGAAUUCCUGGUGUAGCGGUGAAAUGCGCAGAUAUCAGGAAGAACACCAAUGGCGAAGGCAGCUCUCUGGGACGGUACUGACGCUGAGACGCGAAAGCGUGGGGAGCGAACAGG